RNAcentral lists this ribosomal RNA (374 nucleotides) under uncultured bacterium. RNAcentral's name for it is "bacterial SSU rRNA". It matches the Rfam family "Bacterial small subunit ribosomal RNA", at positions 29 to 412 of the family's 1533-position model. The record is from RNAcentral.
AACGAACGCUGGCGGCAGGCCUAACACAUGCAAGUCGAACGCCGUAGCAAUACGGAGUGGCAGACGGGUGAGUAACGCGUGGGAACAUACCCCUCGGUUCGGAAUAACUCAGGGAAACUUGAGCUAAUACCGGAUACGUCCGAGGUUUUGAUCGACCUUGGAGAAAGAUUUAUCGCCGAAGGAUUGGCCCGCGUCUGAUUAGCUUGUUGGUGAGGUAAUGGCUCACCAAGGCGACGAUCAGUAGCUGGUCUGAGAGGAUGAUCAGCCACAUUGGGACUGAGACACGGCCCAAACUCCUACGGGAGGCAGCAGGUGGGGAAUAGUUGGAACAAUGGGACGAAAGCCUGAUCCAGCCAUGCCGCGUGAGUGAUGAA